UUUGAAGAGCAGUGGAAACGAAUUGGAUUAAAUCCUUUAACCCCACAUGCAUUAGAUCUCAUCUAAUCCUAUCCGAGCCCAGGAAUAAAGAUAUGCAUAUGAUCCAAAAAUUAAAAUAAAAAAGAGAUCAAAUCUCAAUACCUUUGCAUGGGUGAAAUACAUCACUACUGCUGAUUUUAGAUCCGAAGGUCCUAGAGCCGCACACGUAUUCGACUUCUAUAGAUAUCACCGAGAUCAAUUUUGAAUCCUUC
RNAcentral lists this long non-coding RNA (251 nucleotides) under Elaeis guineensis (African oil palm). RNAcentral's name for it is "long non-coding RNA (EGUI_LNC052706)". The record is from RNAcentral. Lineage: Eukaryota; Viridiplantae; Streptophyta; Magnoliopsida; Arecales; Arecaceae.